CUCUGCAAACACGAAAGUGGACGUAUAGGGUGUGAUGCCUGCCCGGUGCUGGAAGGUUAAUUGAUGGGGUCAGCCGCAAGGCGAAGCUCUUGAUCGAAGCCCCAGUAAACGGCGGCCGUAACUAUAACGGUCCUAAGGUAGCGAAAUUCCUUGUCGGGUAAGUUCCGACCUGCACGAAUGGUGUAAUGAUGGCCAGGCUGUCUCCAGCAGAGACUCAGUGAAAUUGAAAUCGCGGUGAAGAUGCCGUGUACCCGCGGCUAGACGGAAAGACCCCGUGAACCUUUACUAUAGCUUUGCACUGGACUUUGAAUUUGCUUGUGUAGGAUAGGUGGGAGGCUUUGAAGCGUGGACGCCAGUUCGCGUGGAGCCAACCUUGAAAUACCACCCUGUCGUGCUUGACGUUCUAACCUAGAUCCGUUAUCCGGAUCAGGGACCGUGUAUGGUGGGUAGUUUGACUGGGGCGGUCUCCUCC
This 472-nucleotide ribosomal RNA is filed under the name Aurantiochytrium limacinum. RNAcentral's name for it is "partial Bacterial large subunit ribosomal RNA". It matches the Rfam family "Bacterial large subunit ribosomal RNA", at positions 1821 to 2290 of the family's 2925-position model. The record is from RNAcentral. Lineage: Eukaryota; Bigyra; Thraustochytrida; Thraustochytriidae.